Trichechus manatus latirostris (Florida manatee) is the source of this 2398-nucleotide RNA transcript. It is a transcript of the gene named small nuclear ribonucleoprotein U5 subunit 40, with no coding region annotated. The transcript has 10 exons. The record is from RefSeq and is a predicted model, not a curated record. Lineage: Eukaryota; Metazoa; Chordata; Mammalia; Sirenia; Trichechidae.
GGUGCUGAGGAUAGUGGCUGCCGCCAUGAUAGAACAGCAGAAGCGAAAGGGUCCGGAGUUACCCUUGGUCCCAGUCAAGCGGCAGCGGCAUGACUUGCUCUUGGGAGCAGCGGGGUCGGGCACCGGUGCAGGGCAGCAGCAAGGAGCUUUGCUGCAAGCGGGACCUCCAAGGUGUUCCUCCCUUCAAGCCCCAAUCAUGCUGCUGUCAGGGCAUGAAGGAGAAGUGUACUGUUGCAAGUUUCACCCGAAUGGAUCCACCUUAGCAUCUGCAGGAUUUGACCGACUGAUACUGUUGUGGAAUGUCUAUGGUGACUGUGAUAACUAUGCCACAUUGAAGGGACACAGUGGAGCUGUGAUGGAACUGCAUUAUAACACAGACGGCAGUAUGCUCUUCUCAGCAUCCACAGAUAAAACUGUAGCUGUGUGGGAUAGUGAGACAGGCGAGAGGGUUAAAAGACUGAAGGGACAUACUUCCUUUGUGAAUUCCUGUUAUCCGGCCAGGAGAGGUCCCCAGCUUGUCUGCACUGGCAGUGACGAUGGUACAGUUAAGCUUUGGGAUAUCCGUAAGAAAGCAGCCAUCCAAACAUUUCAAAACACCUACCAGGUGUUAGCUGUGACCUUCAAUGACACAAGUGAUCAGAUUAUUUCUGGUGGCAUAGACAAUGAUAUCAAGGUCUGGGACCUGCGCCAAAACAAGUUAACCUACACCAUGAGAGGCCAUGCAGAUUCAGUGACUGGCCUGAGUUUAAGUUCUGAAGGCUCUUAUCUCUUGUCCAAUGCAAUGGACAAUACAGUGCGAGUCUGGGAUGUCCGGCCAUUUGCCCCCAAAGAGAGAUGUGUGAAGAUAUUUCAGGGAAAUGUGCACAAUUUUGAAAAGAAUCUUCUGAGAUGUUCUUGGUCACCUGAUGGAAGCAAAAUAGCUGCUGGCUCAGCUGACAGGUAAGGAUUACUGGGUGUGGGGUAAAGAAUGAUGUAGCUAUGCAGGUAUCUUAUGUUUAAUACAUGAAGUGCGGAUACUGAGCUAGAGCAGACGGAGUUAUAGCUGUACUCAGAGAUGCGGUAUAAAGAUGCAGAAUGAAGGGUUUAAAGAUCAUGUUGGACAAACACGUCAUUUCUGUCCUCUUUUGAUGUGUUUUAGACCUGAAGGGUAAAAAUUUUCUUUGUUUCGUUGAAUUCCCUUUGCUACCAAAAUAAAAUUCAGACUCAUAAUCUGGCACUAGUUUCCCUUAUCAGAUCCAUCUCCUGUCACACUUCAGCCCAUUCAAAUACAUAUUGAGCACUCACCUCCCGACCAUAAUCACGGUGCUUCAUUUACAUGGAACUUUUCCUAUUCCAACCUACUUGUGUGUUCUCACUUCUAGGCCUGCUCUCAUAUCCCCUUUUCUCCAUUAUCCAAACUCCUAUAUGUCUCUAAUAACCACCUCAAUGUUAUGUCCCUGAUCCUCUCUCCCUGCUGCCUCUCAGGCAUAACCAAUUGCUCUUUUUUCUGUGCUGUUUUCACACUUCAUACAUCUAACCUUAAUUAAUGUUUAUUACAUCUUACAGUCAGACAAACAUAGUGGGGAACCUCGACUGAAUUAUUUGCUCCUACUGGUCAGGGACUGGGUCUUAGUCGUCUUUGAACCCAGGGGAGUGCUUGACAGUGUUUGACAUAUUCUUGGCACUUAUUGAGUAUUGCAUGAAUGAAUUCCUGGCUCCAGGAUAGCAGUCAAAUUUAACUUACCCAUCAGCUCAACUAUUGGUGAUGACUGCCCGUGUUGAGGAUGAGUCAGAGGUGGAUCAGGGUCAGUGGGAAAAGUGCUGUGAUUGCUGAGUGAGGGCAUGGCAACUUGUGGAUUAGGUGUUUUCCAACCCUGAGCUGAGUUAAGAGACUGCGAGGCUUUCUUAAAUGCAAAUUUAAACUGACUCAGUCAUUGUAUGAUGAACUACAAACAUAGGGAGAGAAUUCUUCUGUCAGGAUGCUGUUGUAUGUGGUAUGUCUAUGGUGACCUGUACUUGGGAGCGAUUCAGAGGUUGAAUGGGAUAUCCAGGUGCCAGGAUUGAUAGACUACAAAUAUGAGAUGGUAAAGAAUGAUGAAUCUCACUGAUGGCAAAUCCUGGGUUUAGCUACUGCUAUGAAAUGUCUCGAUCCUUUUUACCUUAACCCUGUUUUUCUUCCCUUUAGUGAUUCUCUUGCUGUCUACCAAAACAAGCACCGUUCUAUCAACAGGAACCCUUUCCUGGGCUAGCUAGGGUUUUCAGCAUGUUCCAGGGUUUUCCCAUAUUUGGGACCCUAAUACAGUUUGUGUAUGUGUGGGAUACCACAAGUAGAAGAAUACUAUAUAAGCUGCCUGGCCAUGCUGGCUCCAUCAAUGAAGUGGCUUUCCACCCUGACGAGCCCAUCAUUCUCUCAGCAUCC